AAGCACAUCCCACUGUCUUUUUUUCUGUUCUGGAGAGGAAAAAAGCAGUUUCUGUUGUGCUAGAUGAACUUGAAGGUAAAUUAGCGGCAUGUCUAAUGUAGCCAUUGGCGUCAGUCCCCUUCAUACAAUU
This is a small nucleolar RNA of Ornithorhynchus anatinus (platypus), 130 nucleotides long. The record is from RefSeq and is a predicted model, not a curated record. NCBI's taxonomy places the organism in Eukaryota, Metazoa, Chordata, Mammalia, Monotremata, Ornithorhynchidae.